RNAcentral lists this long non-coding RNA (449 nucleotides) under Salvia miltiorrhiza (redroot sage). Its description in RNAcentral is "long non-coding RNA (SMIL_LNC003991)". Lineage: Eukaryota; Viridiplantae; Streptophyta; Magnoliopsida; Lamiales; Lamiaceae. The record is from RNAcentral.
AAAGAAUAAGAAAACGUAAAAGGAGGGUAAAGAUUAAAUAUAUACAGUUACCAAACGGAGAGUCGAAGUCUGGAGUCAAGGCAGACUCCGGAAUCUUGGUUGAAUCCCAGAAAUGUUGACACCACGAUGCUAUCAACAUUCCACCAAACAUUGAGAACAUGAAUGUUAUCAACAUUGGACCCAACAUUGUCGGAGUUAACAUUGACUCUAACAAUCUCCGCCUUAAUCUUUUCGUUCCUGCAACAAAAACAAAAACAAAGAAAACAAAACUAUAUAAAAAAAAUACUAUGUUACAGGGUCCAGAUCAAGACGAAGUACGAAACUCCCCCUUAAUCAAACAUUAGGAUAACCUCAACAAUAAUUCAAGGAAGAUGUUGAAACAAGACUCCCCGUGAAACAAACAAGAGGUAAUGUUGAGCCAACAUCCCGUUUAACUAACACUCCCCAAG